Molecule: transfer RNA, 69 nt
Filed under: Cavia porcellus (domestic guinea pig)
Lineage: Eukaryota; Metazoa; Chordata; Mammalia; Rodentia; Caviidae
Rfam family: tRNA
About the family: Transfer RNA (tRNA) molecules are approximately 80 nucleotides in length. Their secondary structure includes four short double-helical elements and three loops (D, anti-codon, and T loops).
Source: Rfam by way of RNAcentral
GGGGAUGUGGCUCAGUGGUAGAGCUCUUGCCUUGAAUGCAGAAGGUCUUGAGUUUGAUCCCCAGCACCA